RNAcentral lists this ribosomal RNA (434 nucleotides) under uncultured archaeon. RNAcentral's name for it is "bacterial SSU rRNA". It matches the Rfam family "Archaeal small subunit ribosomal RNA", at positions 19 to 458 of the family's 1478-position model. The record is from RNAcentral.
GGACCUGACUGCUAUCGGAUUGAUACUAAGCCAUGUGAGUCUUUGUAGCAAUACAAGGCAGACGGCUCAGUAACGCGUAGCCAACCUACCCUGUGGACAGGGAUAACCUCGGGAAACUGAGGAUAAUACCUGAUAGAUCAUAAUGCCUGGAACGGUUUAUGGUCCAAAUGAUUCGUCGCCGUAGGAUGGGACUGCGGCCUAUCAGCUUGUUGGUGAGGUAAUGGCCCACCAAGGCUAUUACAGGUACGGGCUCUGAGAGGAGAAGCCCGGAGAUGGGUACUGAGACACGGACCCAGGCCCUAUGGGGCGCAGCAGGCGAGAAAACUUUGCAAUGUGCGAAAGCACGACAAGGUUAAUCCGAGUGAUUCCUGCUAGAGGAAUCUUUUGUUAGUCGUAAAACCACUGAUGAAUAAGGGGUGGGCAAGUUCUGGUGU